This 324-nucleotide long non-coding RNA is filed under the name Vigna radiata. RNAcentral describes it as "long non-coding RNA (VRAD_LNC000634)". Lineage: Eukaryota; Viridiplantae; Streptophyta; Magnoliopsida; Fabales; Fabaceae. The record is from RNAcentral.
AUGAGGAGGUUGUUGGAGAUGAAGGAACUUACGAUUUGGCUCACAGUGGUGAUGGGGAAGCAUCACGAUUUGGCUAUGCGAAUUGAGAAUUUUUCGAAUUGAUUUUGUAAUUCUGUACUAUCCUACACCUAAGAUGAAAUGAAAAGUGAUUGAAUUUUGCUCCAUUUCUCCGCAGGUUUUUACAGCCAAAUGGUGCACAAAUCCAAUAAUCAACCCUCCCCCUCACUAUUCCACUAUUUUCUCAUUUACCUCUGUGCGAUCGAACUGUCCGUAUGACAAGAAUUGCAAAUUCUAUAACAUGUCCACAGUUCCAGAAUUAAAAUC